UACGUAGGGUCCGAGCGUUAUCCGGAUUUAUUGGGCGUAAAGCGCAUGUAGGUGGGUUAGUAAGUCUUGUUUUAAAGCUCUGGGCUUAACUCAGAAUCUGGACGAGAUACUACUAGUCUAGUGGUCAGCAGGGGCAAACGGAAUUCCCGGUGUAGGAGUGAAAUCCGUUGAUAUCGGGAGGAACACCAAUGGCGAAGGCAGUUUGCUAGGCUGAUUCAGACACUGAGAUGCGAAAGCGUGGGGAGCGAACGGG
Molecule: ribosomal RNA, 253 nt
Filed under: uncultured bacterium
Lineage: Bacteria
Description: partial 16S ribosomal RNA
Rfam family: Bacterial small subunit ribosomal RNA
Source: RNAcentral